RNAcentral lists this ribosomal RNA (221 nucleotides) under uncultured Lactobacillus sp. RNAcentral describes it as "partial 16S ribosomal RNA". It matches the Rfam family "Bacterial small subunit ribosomal RNA", at positions 143 to 355 of the family's 1533-position model. The record is from RNAcentral. Lineage: Bacteria; Bacillati; Bacillota; Bacilli; Lactobacillales; Lactobacillaceae.
AUAACACCUAGGAAACAGAUGCUAAUACCGGAUAACAACAGAUGAUGCCUAUCAACUGUUUAAAAGAUGGUUCUGCUAUCACUNCUUGGAUGGACCUGCGGUGCAUUAGCUAGUUGGUAGGGUAACGGCCUACCAAGGCGAUGAUGCAUAGCCGAGUUGAGAGACUGAUCGGCCACAUUGGGACUGAGACACGGCCCAAACUCCUACGGGAGGCAGCAGUU